RNAcentral lists this ribosomal RNA (668 nucleotides) under uncultured Alphaproteobacteria bacterium. RNAcentral's name for it is "bacterial SSU rRNA". It matches the Rfam family "Bacterial small subunit ribosomal RNA", at positions 28 to 744 of the family's 1533-position model. The record is from RNAcentral. Lineage: Bacteria; Pseudomonadati; Pseudomonadota; Alphaproteobacteria.
AGCGAACGCUGGCGGCAGGCCUAAUACAUGCAAGUCGAGCGCACCUUCGGGUGAGCGGCGGACGGGUGAGUAACGCGUGGGAACGUGCCCUUUGGUACGGGAUAACUGAGGGAAACUUCAGCUAAUACCGUAUGUGCCCUACGGGGGAAAGAUUUAUCGCCAUUGGAGCGGCCCGCGUUGGAUUAGGUAGUUGGUGGGGUAAAGGCCCACCAAGCCGACGAUCCAUAGCUGGUCUGAGAGGAUGAUCAGCCACACUGGGACUGAGACACGGCCCAGACUCCUACGGGAGGCAGCAGUAGGGAAUCUUGCGCAAUGGGCGAAAGCCUGACGCAGCCAUGCCGCGUGAAUGAUGAAGGUCUUAGGAUUGUAAAAUUCUUUCACCGGGGAAGAUAAUGACGGUACCCGGAGAAGAAGCCCCGGCUAACUUCGUGCCAGCAGCCGCGGUAAUACGAAGGGGGCUAGCGUUGCUCGGAAUUACUGGGCGUAAAGGGCGCGUAGGCGGAUGUUUAAGUCGGGGGUGAAAGCCCGGGGCUCAACCUCGGAAUUGCCUUCGAUACUGGACAUCUUGAGUACGGGAGAGGUGAGUGGAACUCCGAGUGUAGAGGUGAAAUUCGUAGAUAUUCGGAAGAACACCAGUGGCGAAGGCGACUCACUGGCCCGUUACUGAC